RNAcentral lists this ribosomal RNA (255 nucleotides) under uncultured bacterium. RNAcentral describes it as "partial 16S ribosomal RNA". It matches the Rfam family "Bacterial small subunit ribosomal RNA", at positions 526 to 779 of the family's 1533-position model. The record is from RNAcentral.
CGGAGGAUCCAAGCGUUAUCCGGAAUUACUGGGCGUAAAGAGUUGCGUAGGUGGCAUAGUAAGCAGGUAGUGAAAUCGUGUGGCUCAACCAUGCACACAUUACUUGAACUGCUAAGCUAGAGGGCGAGAGAGGUUACUAGAAUUCCUUGUGUAGGAGUGAAAUCCGUAGAUAUAAGGAGGAAUACCGAUGGCGUAGGCAGGUAACUGGCUCGUCCCUGACACUAAGGCACGAAAGCGUGGGUAGCAAACGGGAUU